AUCAAAGAAUUAAGGAAUUGAGUUUAUAAGAACCCGAGUCAACGGGACUUAAAAUAAAACGGGUUUUUAGCUCCCGGAACCCACCAAGUAACUAGGAGUAUUAACCUAGUUAGUUAAUGUCUUGACAAAAUAGAACUAAUGUGGUUAAGCUACCCUUUAAAUAACUUGUGUAAAGUGAAGGGACUAGACAUGGACAAUUGAAUUAAAGUUUCAAUUAAACAAAUUAAUAAACAAAACACACACAUACGUGUGUGUGUCUGCGACUUCAACCAGAGCCAAGAAGGGCUCUCUUGCUCAAAACCCUAAUCCCUCAAGAAUCUCUCAAAUUGAAGCCCAAAUCAAGAGCCAAAUCAUUGCAUGAACACAAAUUCGUGAUCACCUAGUCAUGGGGAUUACAAGUUGGCGCUUAAACAAGCUAGGUGAAGCUUGGAGUGAAAGCGGGUCAAACGAGUCAAGCAUAGAAGAAAAGCGUAGCUCGGAUGCAAGGUAAGUGUAAUUUACACACUUAUGUAGAAUGCUUGUUAUUUCGAUACUUAUGAACGUGAAAACAAUAAUAUUGGAAAUUUGGAAAAUUGUCAAGUGUUGACUUAUGUAAAUCAUGGUUAAAAAGGAUACCCAUGGCGUAAGCCGAAAUGGGUUGAAACUGCAAGAAAAGAGUGUAAAAGAAAAAGGGUAUGGUUAUAAAACCCGGGAUGGGAUGAUGUACAAAUUGGAAAUCAAAAACGGUGUUUUUGAUUUAAAUAGACAAUGUUGGGCAUAUAGUCCAAACGGGUCGAAUGGUGGUGAUAACACCAUUUGACAAUAUCGAUUAAUGUGGUCGUCAAGUCUUAUGUUAACAGGACUAAUUAGCAAAUCGGAUAGUUGCGUCAUCAUUGAUGGUGUGAUAAUAAAAGCGAGGCAUAAAUCGGGUCUAUUCGUUGAUCCGAGCCAGGUGUAUGCUGAGAGCCCGGAUGAAGAUCAAGCGUCAAGCUCAAUGAGGAACCGAACACAUGUUUGAUAAAGCUUCCGCAACGUUGUUGUGUCGUUAUUCUAAACGGCGAAUUAAAUCACAUUAUGUAUAUCGCUUAAAUUAUAAAAGUUUUUAACAAGCCCGUAUUUUCAUUAUAAUUGUGAUUGUAAUU
Long non-coding RNA from Helianthus annuus (common sunflower), 1121 nucleotides. RefSeq lists it as uncharacterized. The transcript is spliced from 3 exons. NCBI's taxonomy places the organism in Eukaryota, Viridiplantae, Streptophyta, Magnoliopsida, Asterales, Asteraceae. The record is from RefSeq and is a predicted model, not a curated record.